UUCCUGUUUUAGCCCAACUCAAUGCGCUGAAUUUACGUCUGUCGGUCUUAGGCAGUGUGUAAGGUGUUUAUUUAUUUAUUUUAAUUUUGUACUUUAUGACAGCUGUAUUACGGCUGAUAUGCAAGAGCGUGUGAGCUGAUCAAGGAGUGAGACAAGUGUUGAGAGCAAAGCAGCACAGCGGCAGCACUCUGGUCACAAGGAUCCGUGGUAGAGGCAGCAGCAGCAACACUAUCAGUCACAGCGCAGGCAGCAUCGGCAGCAGAAGCAGCGCAUUCUCCUCUGUUUCUCUCUCUUCUUUCUGGAGUUGUUUCUUGCUCAGAGGACAAACGGCAAGGAAGUCACAGGAGAAAGUGAUCCAGGGCUGAUAGCUGCUAUAAAAAACCCAAACGCAGACCUGGCUGCCCCCAUGCCUAUCGAAUUUGUUUGCAAAAUCAAGUUUGCAGAGGAGGAUGAGAAGCAGAAAAACAAGCAGGAUGGGGACAAGGAGAGUCUGAUCGAGGAGAGCUGUGCACCUCCGGCCAAGGACUUGGCUGGGUUUGCUAACUCCUGCACCCUACAUGGGAUUAAUCACAUCUUUGUCUCUGGUCGUCUUGGCAUCCGGCAGACUCUGUGGGCGCUUGCCUUUCUCACUUCACUGGCACUGUUUGUUUACCAGGCGGCAAAGUGUGCUAUCUCCUACCUGGAGCACCCCCAUGUCACAGCCCUGAAUGAAGAGGCGACCCCAGAGAUGGUUUUCCCAGCCGUCACCAUCUGCAACAUCAACCGCUUCCGCUUCUCCGCGCUCACUGAUGCCGACAUCUACCACCUGGCUAACUUGACGGGACUGCCCCCCAAAAACAGGGACGGACACAAGCCCACAGAUCUCAUGUAUCCUGCCCCUGACAUGCAGGACAUCUUCAACAGGACGGGACAUCAGCUGGACGAGAUGCUCAUGAGCUGCAACUUCAGUGGGCAGAACUGCUCAGCGGAUGACUUCACUGUGGUUUACACCAGAUAUGGGAAAUGCUACACCUUUAAUGGAAACAAGACGACGUCCAGGAAAAGCAAGCAAGGUGGAAUGGGAAAUGGGCUGGAGAUCAUGUUGGAUAUCCAGCAGGAUGAAUAUCUGCCAAUAUGGAGAGAGACAAAUGAGACAUCUCUGGAGGCGGGGAUCCGAGUUCAGAUACACAGUCAGGAUGAGCCUCCCUACAUUCACCAGCUGGGCUUCGGUGUCUCUCCAGGCUUCCAGACUUUUGUUUCAUGUCAAGAGCAAAGGUUGACCUACCUGCCCCAGCCCUGGGGGAACUGUCGCUCCAGCAGCAAUGAGAAGUUCCCAGGAUACGACACGUACAGCAUCAGUGCCUGUCGCCUGCUCUGCGAGACCAAUGAGGUCGUGCGAGUGUGCAAUUGCAGGAUGGUGCACAUGCCCGGAACGGCUGAUAUCUGUCCUCCUAGUAAAAUCAACUGUGUUGACAAAGCACUCGCACAGCUCCAAAAGACCAGUGGGGACACCUGUCCAUGUGAGACGCCCUGCAAUCUCACCCGUUACGGUAAAGAGCUCUCCAUGGUCAAAAUCCCCAGCAAGGGCUCGGCUCGCUAUCUCUCCAGGAAAUACGCCAAGUCCGAAGACUACAUCCGGGACAACUUCCUGGUCCUGGACAUCUUUUUUGAGGCUCUAAACUAUGAAACAAUAGAGCAAAAGAAAGCCUACGAUGUUGCAGGUUUAUUAGGUGACAUUGGUGGACAGAUGGGUCUUUUCAUUGGAGCCAGUAUCCUGACCAUCUUAGAAAUACUUGAUUAUAUCUAUGAGGUAAUCAAGCAACGAUUACAACGUCUACUGAGGCCGCAAAAAGAGGAAAAGAAGAGCAAGCAGCAACCGCAGCCCAGCACUGUGGCAACAGUGGGUCUGGAGGAGAUGGAAACAGAGGAGCCCAAUGCCAUGACACGGAGUCACCCAGAGGGGGCGUACGCCAACACAAUGCUCCCCAACCACCACCACCACCGUCACCAUCAUCACACUGGACACCACGGGGUGUUUGAGGACUUCACUUGCUAGAGGCAGCCAUACUUUUUCCAUCCUUUCGUUUGCAUUGACAACUAAAGAGGAGGCGCCGUGUGCGUCGCCAUCAAGAAGAGACCUUCUGCAUAUGUGCCAGUUCUUUGCUGUCAUCAGUGAAAAAGCUCCAGCCAAAGUCCAACACCAAAUUUGUGCUGCUAACAAACCACGUGUGUACAGUAAAAAAAGGCACAAAUUGGACACCGCUUUUUUUUUGUUGUUUUUUUAUUUUGUCUGGGGACCACUUUAGCUGUAUCUCUGAGAAGUCGGGCACUUUGUGUUCAUAGGACCAGUUUUUGUUGAUGCCAUACAAGAAAACAAGAGGAGGACUGCAUGACCCCUUAAUCCAAUUUAUACAAAAAAAAAAAAAGAAAAAAAGAAAAAUGUGAUUUAUUCAUUUCUAUCUCUAAAUCCACCUUGGUCCAUUUUUCCAAAAGCUAUUGCCCCGACUUCCACGGAGAACAAACUGUGCCACUGCAUCAAGCCAUUGCAAUAUCAUAAAUUAUAUAACCAUUUAAAGAGAUACUAAGAUCUAUAUGUUCUAUAUUGUAUACAAGAUAAAACCUUCUAAGAUAAAUCUCUUUUGUGCUAUAUUCAAUCUACACUCAACAAAAAUAUAAAGGCAAGACUUUUGCUUUUGUUCCUAUUUUUCAUGAGCUGAACUCUAUCUCCAUGUGUACAAUACAGUUCCUGCACGUUUUUGGAGUGGCCUUUUAUUGUGGCCAGCCUAAGGCAGACCUCUGCAAUAAUCAUGCUGCCUCGUCUGCAUUUUGAUAUCUCGGUACAGGAGAAGUGCUCACUGACACAGGUUCAUUCCAUCAUGGCUUUUUUUAAAAUAUAUUAAUAAAUCUUGCUGUUUUGUGGUUGAAUAUAGCCUAUGAUUUGUCAAAAACAUGCAUAUUUUCUUAUUUUUGGCCUAAAUUUGUUUGCCAAUGGUCGGACCCCAAAACAGAGACACGUACACCGAGGUGUGGAGAAAAUGUUGAAUCCAAAAAUGUACUCCCAACGGAGUAAGCAAAAACAUACAACACAAAACCCAAGUACAGCGAAGCCACGCUAAAAAAUGAGAACACAAGACGCUGCUGGAAAAAAAGCCAAGCAGGUGAAAAUACUAAACACACAACAGGAACCAAAAGCGCUGCUGGAAAAAAAGCCAAGCGGGGAAGGAAUGCUAAACGCAGAAUAAAUACUCAUCAGAAUGCAAGGAUAGCAAACGACCAGACAAGAGCAACACAUGAGAAUGCACAACUAGAGGGAGGUUGAACGAGGAGCGAGUGAAGUCGAUGUAACAAUCUGGCAAAGAGUGAGACUCCCAGCAAGGCUUAAGAGGGCCUGAUUGUAAUUGCUCUCAGGUGUAUGCAGGUGGCUCCGCCCCGGCAGGACCAGCAGUGCACUGCAAGAGAGAGCAGACAGGCGGCAGCAGAGCAGUACCAGCAGAACAUGACAAAAUGAAGCAUUUUUGAGCAUAAAUAUAAAUAAAAAACAAAUAUAAGGCACUCAGAAGACGCAUUCAAAGACGUUGUGAUGCUAUGUAGUAUUCUAUACUGGUCAGUAGGUGUCAGACUUGAUCGCCGGAACAACAGGCUUUUAUUGCAGGUUUGAAUUAUCUCACAGCAGGCACAAUAAUCCCUAACACGGGCUGCUGUUGUGGCCGUAACCCACACCGAGCUAAAACUCAACUCUGAACCCCCGACGUCACUUCCUGUCUGCGCCACCAGAACACGUUUACAACAACACACAAAAGCACAAGUUUUAUGUCUUAUGUCUUAUUUUCUCUUACUAUGUCUACUAUAUUGGGUAAUACAGAAGUAAAGAUGACUAUGGGGUACUAUUUCAUGUCUAGAGGGCUCUAAAAAUGUUUUUUUAAACAUUUUUACAAGGUCAUAGACAGGUUUUCUAUGCUCUAACUGCAAAAAUAUACAAGUACACAAAAAUCCAUAAGGAAUCCUACUUUGUGGAAAUUCACUUAUCACGGCCGGGUGUGAAAGCGAGUCACUGCGAUAAACGAAGGAUUACUGCAGACAUAUUUGUCAACAAUAUUUGAAAGAGAUGGGCCUUUUGUGUGCAUAGAAGAAGUUUUAACUCAUGAACAAUGGGAGCAAAAACAAAUUGCGUUUAUAUUUUCGACAAGUGUUAUUACAAGGAAUACGGGAGCUGAGCUGUCAGUGCUGACGGAAGCGGGAAUCUUUCCACGUGAUACACGUCGUCUGACUUGUGGUGAAGGUGUUAGUGAGUAGCGUUGUACAUUGUAACAUGAACAUUGUAAUACUGUCAAAUCCAAUGUGGAAAAUGAAAGCUUCUGUUUUAAUGGUUGUAGUUUAUAAUGCAUUAAUAUAUGACUUCAGUAAUGCUUUUGUUAUUUAUACAUUUUAGAAAGGUAAUUUUAUAUGCGAUCACGAUUGUAGCAAUUACUGUACACUUAAAAUCUGCAAAUGAGCAAGAAUAUCAAUACAUUUGUACAGGUAACAAAAAUACUAUGGAUUGUGAAUAUUAUUUCUUUAUACUGUAUGCUUUUUUUUUAAACACGUAACAUCAAUAUUUGCACUUGAAGGUGGUGAAAUUUGCUUUUUCUUUGGCUUUUUUUGUGUGAUGCCACCACAGAAGGGCACCAGUGACGGCAAAGGGAAAACCUGUGGUGGUGAUGACGGUAAUUCUGGAAAGCGGCACAAGUAGCAAUCAGCAAAGUUAUGGGAGCACCUGGAGAGAACCAGAGCAGGCAAACAGAGAACAUCUAAACUCCAAAAAGCAGGUUUGAACCUAAAACCCUCUUCUGCGAUAGUGCAAACCACUCUCAAAUCUUUUACAGUGGAACCUCUGCUAGCGUCAAUAAUCCGUUCCGGAAGGUCCUAAUAUGUACUUUAACCGAAUCUAUUUUUUCCAAAUCCAAUUAAUCCGUUCCACACCCAAAAAAUGUUAAGAUAAAACCAGAAAAAAAGUGUGUCAUGUGCAGAAAACAAUUAGAAAUGAAAGAAAUGGAUGAAUGUACCGUACACUUAACGUCACUUUUAUGUUUGGUGAAGACCUUUGUCACAAAAAUGGCAAGGGAGGUAGGUGAGUCAUGAUUUUUUUUUUAAAUAUUAAAAACUAUAACAUGAAAUAAAAAUGAAUAUUUGUCCAUUGAGCUGUAAUGUAAAUGUAUUUCCUGAACGUUUCCAUCCAUCCAUUUUCUAUACCGCUUCUCCUCAUUAGGGUCGCAGGGGCAUGCUGGAGCCUAUCCCAGCUGACUUCGGGCGACAGGCGGGGUACACCCUGGACUGGUCACCAGCCAAUGGCAGGGCACAUAUAGACAAACAAGCAUUCACACUCACAUUCAUACCUAUGGACAAUUUAGAGUCACCAAUUAACCUCACAUGCAUGUUUUUGGAUGUGGGAGGAAACCGGAGUACCCGGAGAAAACCCACGCACGCAUUUUCUUUGCUGAAUUUGCACAUUUCUUGACCAAAUACUGGGUAGAAACCCAAGAUGAGGCUGCUACGAGCGUCUCCUCUCGGCUUCGCGCGCAAGCCCUGCCUACCGUCCGAUUGCACUCAAUGACUGCGCUGACGUGGAUGAUGGCACCUGCCGGUUUCUGUUUGUCAGCAUGUCGCCAUUAAUAUAAUGUAAUGUAAUAUUAAAAAAAGACAUAAAUGGGACAAAUACGUACUUUUUUUGUUAGCCUCUUAAUAAGCAACCUGUAUUAACGUAGAAAAGGUACAAAGGAGUCAGUGUCAUGAACCUACCUCACCGCAUGUUACUGAUCUACACGGACACCAACUUCGCGAGUUAUUUCUUGAAUUCGAGAGCGUUUCUUACCGUCUUUAUCGACAUACUGGUACUUGCCACUCUCUUUGGCUCCAUUGUAAGUUAUUGUGCAGCCGUGAUCAACAACAAAAGCCGAGACGUGUGGUGUACCGGUGUUAGUUAGCAAAGAACUACGUCGGGUGAGUGAAAGCAGGUUCAAUGCUAAUAGGCUGCUAACAGGACCGUUAAGUGAUUAAAAUGCGUUACAAACACAGUUGGGCUCACACAAGUGUAUUAAUAACAAGAUUAUACGUGGACAAUUUUAGCGCUAUAAAAGGGGCGCACGCCAACCGAGGGUCCACUGUAUUUGCUUGACUUUGGACUGACCGGCAUGAAAACUUGCAAUAGCGGCUAUGCUUUGUCUAUCACAAAAAAUUGCAAUCUACCCCUUAGUGCAAAACCCAGAUAAAGAUCCCAAUCCAUGUCAGAACAGACAGGUGCAGAGAAAGAGCCGUGCUGUGCCACUGCUGGCCACGCGUCAACACCUGAUCAUGAAAACUGGCUAAACUACAUGGACAACAAGGCCCUGUUCUUGCAGCAUAGUGGUCAAAUA
This is an RNA transcript of Dunckerocampus dactyliophorus (ringed pipefish), 6368 nucleotides long. It is a transcript of the gene named acid-sensing (proton-gated) ion channel family member 4a, with no coding region annotated. The record is from RefSeq and is a predicted model, not a curated record. The transcript is spliced from 11 exons. Lineage: Eukaryota; Metazoa; Chordata; Actinopteri; Syngnathiformes; Syngnathidae.